AUUGAACGCUGGCGGCAGGCCUAACACAUGCAAGUCGAGCGGAUGAAGGGAGCUUGCUCCUGGAUUCAGCGGCGGACGGGUGAGUAAUGCAUAUGAAUCUGCCUGGUAGUGGGGGAUAACGUCCGGAAACGGGCGCUAAUACUGCAUACGUCCUGAGGGAGAAAGUGGGGGAUCUUCGGACCUCACGCUAUCAGAUGAGCCUAGGUCGGGUUAGCUAGUUGGUGGGGUAAAGGCCUACAAAGGCGACGAUCCGUAACUGGUCUGAGAGGAUGAUCAGUCACACGGGAACUGAGAGACGGGCCAGACACUGAGGGAAGGCAGCGGUGGGGAAGAUUGGACAAAGGGGGAAAGCCUGAACCAGCCAUGCCGGGCGGGUGAAGAAGGGCUGCGGAUGGUAAAGCACUUUAAGGUGGGAGAAAGGGCAGUAAGUUAAUACCUGGCUGUUUGGACGUUACCGAUAGAAGAGGCACGGGCGAACUUCGU
This 483-nucleotide ribosomal RNA is filed under the name uncultured bacterium. RNAcentral's name for it is "partial 16S ribosomal RNA". It matches the Rfam family "Bacterial small subunit ribosomal RNA", at positions 29 to 506 of the family's 1533-position model. The record is from RNAcentral.